AAAUAAAAAUCGGUGUUGUUGCUGCCUUUCGUGGUGACGCGUCGGAAUUGGGUCGACUUAACCUUUCGGUUUAAGUGACUUAAAAUUUUUGCAUGAUUUUCGAACGUAUUUAAAUCGCUUACGUACGUUUGAGAUAUCGAAUGUUUAUUGGGUUCGGUCAUCCUCAUGACUCGCGCCUAUAAUUUUUUUCAUU
RNAcentral lists this unclassified non-coding RNA (193 nucleotides) under uncultured Glomus. Its description in RNAcentral is "partial internal transcribed spacer 2". The record is from RNAcentral. Lineage: Eukaryota; Fungi; Glomeromycota; Glomeromycetes; Glomerales; Glomeraceae.